CACGAACCGUACGAACGUUAUUCGGAAUUAUUGGGCGUAAAGCGCACGUAGGCGGCUUGUUAAGUCAGGGGUGAAAUCCUGGAGCUCAACUCCAGAACUGCCCUUGAUACUGGCAAGCUUGAGUUCGGGAGAGGUGAGUGGAACUGCGAGUGUAGAGGUGAAAUUCGUAGAUAUUCGCAAGAACACCAGUGGCGAAGGCGGCUCACUGGUCCGGAUCUGACGCUGAGGCGCGAAAGCGUGGGGAGCAAACAGG
Molecule: ribosomal RNA, 253 nt
Filed under: uncultured bacterium
Lineage: Bacteria
Description: partial 16S ribosomal RNA
Rfam family: Bacterial small subunit ribosomal RNA
Source: RNAcentral